Molecule: ribosomal RNA, 232 nt
Filed under: uncultured bacterium
Lineage: Bacteria
Description: partial 16S ribosomal RNA
Rfam family: Bacterial small subunit ribosomal RNA
Source: RNAcentral
CGAACGGGUGCGUAACACGUAGGAAUCUACCUAACUGUGGGGGACAACUCGAGGAAACUCGAGCUAAUACCGCAUAAGCCCUAAGGGGGAAAGCGGGGGAUCUUCGGACCUCGUGCUGUUAGAUGAGCCUGCGGCGGAUUAGCUUGUUGGUGAGGUAAAGGCUCACCAAGGCGGCGAUCCGUAGCUGGUCUGAGAGGAUGAUCAGCCACACUGGGACUGAGACACGGCCCAG